This 275-nucleotide small RNA is filed under the name Gorilla gorilla gorilla (western lowland gorilla). RNAcentral's name for it is "Metazoan signal recognition particle RNA (ENSGGOG00000042333.1)". The record is from RNAcentral. Lineage: Eukaryota; Metazoa; Chordata; Mammalia; Primates; Hominidae.
GCCAGGCAUGGUGGCAUGUGCCUGUAGUCCUAGCUACUUGGGAGACUGAGGUGAGAGGAUCACUUGAGCCCAGGAGUUUGAGGCUACUGUGAGCCCUGAUCAUGCCACCGCACUCCAUCCUCGGCAACAGAGUGAGACUCUGUCUCUUAAAAAAUAAAUAGGCUGGGUGCAGUGGCUCACGCCUGUAAUCCCAGCACUUUGGGAGGCAGAGGCAGGUGGAUCACAAGGUCAGGAGCUGGAGACCAUCCUGGCUAACACAGUGAAACCCCAUCUCU